This 314-nucleotide long non-coding RNA is filed under the name Sarcophilus harrisii (Tasmanian devil). Its description in RNAcentral is "lncRNA (ENSSHAG00000025107.1)". Lineage: Eukaryota; Metazoa; Chordata; Mammalia; Dasyuromorphia; Dasyuridae. The record is from RNAcentral.
UGAUCUAUACUCAGUUCCCACAAUCCUCUCUCUGUAUACAGAUGGCUUUCUUCAUCACAAGAUCAUUGGAACUGGCCGGAAUCAUCUCAUUGUCGAGAAGAGCCACAUCAUGAGAAUUAAUCAUCUUGUUGCUGUGUACAAUGAUCGCCUGGUUUUCCUUACUUCACUCAGCAUCAGUUCAUGACUGUAUCUCACCAGAAAUACAAGGAUUGAAUUGCCAGAACUUCAGCCAGCAGACAUUCUGGGUUUUUUACCAUGACACAGCAGCAGGAGAGAAUAGGAGGCAUAUUCAAAAAGAAAGAGGUUGGUAUUUU